GACGAACGCUGGCGGCGUGCUUAACACAUGCAAGUCGAACGGAAAGGCCCUGCUUUUGUGGGGUGCUCGAGUGGCGAACGGGUGAGUAACACGUGAGUAACCUGCCCUUGACUUUGGGAUAACUUCAGGAAACUGGGGCUAAUACCGGAUAGGAGCUCCUGCUGCAUGGUGGGGGUUGGAAAGUUUCGGCGGUUGGGGAUGGACUCGCGGCUUAUCAGCUUGUUGGUGGGGUAGUGGCUUACCAAGGCUUUGACGGGUCGCCGGCCUGUGAGGGUGCCCGGCGACAUUGGGACUGAGAUACGGCCCAGACUCCUACGGGAGGCAGCAGUGGGGAAUAUUGCACAAUGGGCGGAAGCCUGAUGCAGCAACGCCGCGUGCGGGAUGACGGCCUUCGGGUUGUAAACCGCUUUCGCCUGUGACGAAGCGUGAGUGACGGUAAUGGGUAAAGAAGCACCGGCUAACUACGUG
Molecule: ribosomal RNA, 468 nt
Filed under: uncultured bacterium
Lineage: Bacteria
Description: partial 16S ribosomal RNA
Rfam family: Bacterial small subunit ribosomal RNA
Source: RNAcentral